CCUACGGGGGCUGCAGUGGGGAAUAUUGGACAAUGGGCGAAAGCCUGAUCCAGCCAUGCCGCGUGUGUGAAGAAGGCCUUCGGGUUGUAAAGCACUUUCAGUGGGGAAGAAAGCCUUGGGGCUAAUACCCUCGAGGAAGGACAUCACCCACAGAAGAAGCACCGGCUAACUCCGUGCCAGCAGCCGCGGUAAUACGGAGGGUGCGAGCGUUAAUCGGAAUUACUGGGCGUAAAGCGCGCGUAGGCGGUCUGAUAAGCCGGUUGUGAAAGCCCCGGGCUCAACCUGGGAACGGCAUCCGGAACUGUCAGGCUAGAGUGCAGGAGAGGAAGGUAGAAUUCCCGGUGUAGCGGUGAAAUGCGUAGAGAUCGGGAGGAAUACCAGUGGCGAAGGCGGCCUUCUGGACUGACACUGACGCUGAGGUGCGAAAGCGUGGGUAGCAAACAGGAUUAGAUAACCUGGUAGUC
This 464-nucleotide ribosomal RNA is filed under the name Vreelandella stevensii. RNAcentral describes it as "partial 16S ribosomal RNA". It matches the Rfam family "Bacterial small subunit ribosomal RNA", at positions 338 to 795 of the family's 1533-position model. The record is from RNAcentral. Lineage: Bacteria; Pseudomonadati; Pseudomonadota; Gammaproteobacteria; Oceanospirillales; Halomonadaceae.